AUGGGCGUUUUGGGGGUGAAGCUCGCGGCGAAACAGGCGCAGAAAGCAACAUUUUGGGUGCGUUGUGAGAGCGUCGCUGCUGCCCCAACACAGAAUGGGCUCAGAAAGCAGCUUUUUGGGACCGGUGUGACGAAAAAACAACAUAAAACGAAGGAAAAGGACCCAAAAAGCAGGGUAUGGGGCCGGCGUGACCGCGCCGCAGGUACUUACUCCGCUCCCUUGGAUAUUUUCUGCCUCUUUUUUAAGGGGUUUUGUGCUCUUUUUGGGGUUAUUUCUGGCCAUUUUGGGGCCAUUUUCGGCCAUUUUGGGGCCAUUUCCAGCCAUUUUGGGGGGGCAUUUCCUGCCACCGUUUGUUUUUCAUUCUCAAAUGGGUAGAAAACAAGCAAAAUUAGGGCUGAAAUGGGGCCGACCCACCCCGGGGUGAACCUAACGCCAUCGCCCCGAAUCCACCCACAUCUCCAAUUUGGGUGAAAAACAGCACAAAUACCUAUUUUUUUUUCCUCCCUUAUCCUAUACGUAGCUUUUUGUUUUUUUUUAUGGGGGAGAUGGUUUUGCUGCCGUGUUUCUCUCUGCCUUUUCGCCUCAGGAGUCCACGCUGCCUCGGUUUUGGGGCAAAUUCCCGCAGUUUUGGUGCUCUCACUGAUCUGUGCCGAAGAUCCCUUUGCUGCCAACACC
RNAcentral lists this long non-coding RNA (675 nucleotides) under Coturnix japonica (Japanese quail). Its description in RNAcentral is "lncRNA (ENSCJPG00005001886.1)". Lineage: Eukaryota; Metazoa; Chordata; Aves; Galliformes; Phasianidae. The record is from RNAcentral.